CAACUCACGCAGGGCAUAUGUAUAUAUACACAGCCCAACGCACACGGCCACACGUACAAAUCAUAAACGGACUUGUAUUACACCUUUUUUUUCCGCAAGAUUUGUAUUACACCUUGACUCACGUAGACAAUAAACUACUAGGACACGGCUAACCAAUCCUAACCAGACUACUACUCCGAGCCCUACACGUACUACAGAAACUAGACCAACUAGUACAUAGUACUUCUAUACCUGAUCGCUAAUCAACUUAGCUAACACUAAUAAACCAUCUUUAACAAGAUUAUCUAACA
Molecule: long non-coding RNA, 290 nt
Filed under: Triticum aestivum (bread wheat)
Lineage: Eukaryota; Viridiplantae; Streptophyta; Magnoliopsida; Poales; Poaceae
Description: long non-coding RNA (TAES_LNC019036)
Source: RNAcentral